UAGCUCAGUUGGUGGAGCACAAGGUUUUAAACCUUGAGGUUGGGGGUUGAGCCCUA
This 56-nucleotide transfer RNA is filed under the name Zea mays. It matches the Rfam family "tRNA", at positions 8 to 63 of the family's 71-position model. From Rfam's summary of the family: Transfer RNA (tRNA) molecules are approximately 80 nucleotides in length. The record is from Rfam by way of RNAcentral. Lineage: Eukaryota; Viridiplantae; Streptophyta; Magnoliopsida; Poales; Poaceae.